CCUACGGGUGGCUGCAGUGGGGAAUAUUGGACAAUGGGGGGAACCCUGAUCCAGCCAUGCCGCGUGUGUGAAGAAGGCCCUCGGGUUGUAAAGCACUUUCAGUGAGGAAGAACGCCUGGUGGUUAAUACCCAUCAGGAAAGACAUCACUCACAGAAGAAGCACCGGCUAACUCCGUGCCAGCAGCCGCGGUAAUACGGAGGGUGCGAGCGUUAAUCGGAAUUACUGGGCGUAAAGCGCGCGUAGGUGGCUUGAUAAGCCGGUUGUGAAAGCCCCGGGCUCAACCUGGGAACGGCAUCCGGAACUGUCAAGCUAGAGUGCAGGAGAGGAAGGUAGAAUUCCCGGUGUAGCGGUGAAAUGCGUAGAGAUCGGGAGGAAUACCAGUGGCGAAGGCGGCCUUCUGGACUGACACUGACACUGAGGUGCGAAAGCGUGGGUAGCAAACAGGAUUAGAUCCCGAGUAGUC
RNAcentral lists this ribosomal RNA (464 nucleotides) under Vreelandella stevensii. Its description in RNAcentral is "partial 16S ribosomal RNA". It matches the Rfam family "Bacterial small subunit ribosomal RNA", at positions 338 to 795 of the family's 1533-position model. The record is from RNAcentral. Lineage: Bacteria; Pseudomonadati; Pseudomonadota; Gammaproteobacteria; Oceanospirillales; Halomonadaceae.